GUUAGCUCAAUCGGUAGAGCGUGAGACUCUUAAUCUCAAGGUUGCGGGUUCGACCCCCGCAUUGGGCU
This 68-nucleotide transfer RNA is filed under the name Tieghemiomyces parasiticus. It matches the Rfam family "tRNA". From Rfam's summary of the family: Transfer RNA (tRNA) molecules are approximately 80 nucleotides in length. The record is from Rfam by way of RNAcentral. Lineage: Eukaryota; Fungi; Kickxellomycota; Dimargaritomycetes; Dimargaritales; Dimargaritaceae.